RNAcentral lists this ribosomal RNA (181 nucleotides) under uncultured bacterium. RNAcentral describes it as "partial 16S ribosomal RNA". The record is from RNAcentral.
CAGCAGUGGGGGAAUUUUGGACAAUGGGCGCAAGUCUUUUUCUCUUCCUCGGAGAUGACCGAGUGAGUGAAGAAGGCCUUCGGGUUGUAAAGCUCUUUCGCAAGGGAAGAAAGGCCAUUCCCUUUCUAUUUCUUUCUUAGUACGUACCUGAUAAGAAGCACCGGGCAAACCUUAACCUGUG